GACAGAAAGAGAGAGGGAGGCAGAGACACCGGCAGAGGGAGAAGCAGGCUCCCUGCAGGGAGCCCAGUACGGGACUCCAUCCCGAGACCCCGGGGUCACACCCUGAGCCGAGGGCAGACGCCACCCAUUGAGGCACCCAGGCGUCCCGAACUGACAGUAUUUAAAUCAAAACCAUACACUCCCCCCACAACACAAGGACAAAGGCAAAGCAGGGAAGCAGCGGCCACCAGCAGUUCAAAAGCCUUGGGGAUCCUAACAGUACCUGGGGAGGAUCCUCCCGUCAGUCGCACCCGCGUGUCCGUUCCCACCGCUCACCGCUCGCUGGAUCGAAGUCGUAGCCAAUCAUCCUUCCGGAAUCCAGGCUGCCCCGGAGCACGUGACCGGCCUCCGACGGCGGCGGGGGCGCCCGGGGUCGGCCACAGAGCAGGCCGCGCCGCCUCCCGGGGUCAGGAGUUCAGGCCCUACGGGGCGGGCCGGGAUUGCUUUAAAAAGGAAAAAAAGGGGGGGGGCGGGGCUUACUGCCUUUUCUCGGCACCACGCAAAUCACAGUGGUUCUAUCAAAAUGAAAAUCCCCCAUUUUGCCCGAAAGGCGUCGGUUCCCAAAAGCCAUUCUCUGACUUCCCGGCUCGGGACCCCGAGGUGCCCCCGAUGCCUCCCCUACCGAGCUCUUCCCUCCGGGCAGCGCCCCGGGUCAGCCGGGGUCGCGGUGGGGGGGCAGAUGCGGCCUGUCACGGCCGAGGCGCCACGCGGUCCCUCAGGGCGGCCGCUCCGACUCCUGCUGGCCGCAGCCCGGGGGCGCCCCAGGAAGGCGUGACUGCGCGGCGGAGACCAACCCGCCCCUCACCCGACCACACUGCUCCUACCGACACACACACUCACGUGCCGCCCACGGUCGACGGCGGCAACGGCGGGNNNNNNNNNNNNNNNNNNNNNNNNNNNNNNNNNNNNNNNNNNNNNNNNNNNNNNNNNNNNNNNNNNNNNNNNNNNNNNNCGGGCGCGCUUCCGGCAGGAGCCUCCCGACGCGGAAGGCCUGGGCUCUGGGGGCGCGCGUCGUCUGCGCCAGGCCUUGCAGUCGGCAGUUGCCGCGACCGCCGGGCAGACGCUUCCGCUUCCGGUUCCGGCCCGGCGGGCCCAGGUCCAGUGCGAGGUGGUCGCGCUGACCCGCUGGGUGCAUGUCGAGCGCCCGUCGCCAGCGCUGCCACCGCAGCGACCCGGAGAUCUGUGACGUAGGAGUCCACGGGGAGCCAGGCCCGGCGGCCGGCACGUGACCCGCGAGCGGAGGCCCCGAGCCCGGCAGCGUCCCCUGCGAACUUGGACGCGGAGCCCGAGACUGGGACUGUGGGCCCGGAGUCUUCCACCGAGGUGAGGUGCGGUGGGGCCGACACGCAGUCCAAGGCCUGAGAAGCUACUUCCUCAAGGGCAAGGUUUCCUGGAAGGUCUUAAGUGGAAGAUAAAAGGGUCAUUCCCAGCAUAGCAGUGGGAAGGACCACCUUAGGGCGCCCGGGUGGCUCAGCGGGUGAGCGCCUGCCUCUGGCCCAGGGUGUGACCCCGGGGUCCCCGCUUGGAGCCUGCUUCUCCCUCUGCCUGUGUGUUGUGAAGAAACAAAAUCUUAAAAAAAAAAAAAAAAAAAAACCAGCUUCUUUACCUACAGUUAGGGGAUCGACUGGAAGCACCGUCAUGUUUCAGAGUAGAAAACCGGCUACAGUGGGGAGAGAAAUGGGCAGUUUAAGGAGGGUGGUGUUGUGUUAACUUGAUUGUUUGUCAAUGGCUUUAUUCUGAAACGUGGAGAAGACUGACCUGUGUGUAUGCAUUUGGGGAAAGAGGGGGCACAACGAUAGCUGGAGGUAGUUCCUAUUAUGUUCCUUGCACCUCGCUGAGUCCUUUUUAUGUACAUACCUUUUAACAAGUUUUAUUUUUCUGAAGAUUUUAUUUAUUCAUGAGAGACACAGGCAGAGGGAGAAGCAGGAUCAGGCCCUGGGCUGAAGGUGGCACUAAACUGCUGAGCCAUCCAGGCUGCCAAAGAGUUUUAUAUUUUUCUCUUGACUUCUGUUUUCCCAUCAUGCUUUGCUGUUGACUGUCUCAUUGGGUAAGAGUCUGUAAAAAGCACCCAUUUUGAACAUAUUAAGCAAGAAUUGGAAGUCAUGGAAACCUUAGUAGCUAUAACACUUAGUUUGGGCAAGGAGGAAGAGUCACCUGGAAGAGACUGUAUGCUGUAUUUUGUGUAGUUCUGUAUUAUUGGCAUUUACUACAAGUUGAAUAUAUUUUAACAUUAAAAAGUGUAUUUUAAAAUUCUGAAACUCGGGAUCCCUGGGUGGCGCAGUGGUUUGGCGCCUGCCUUUGGCCCAGGGCGCGAUCCUGGAGACCCGGGAUCGAGUCCCAUAUCGGGCUCCCAGUGCAUGGAGCCUGCUUCUCCCUCCGCCUGUGUCUCUGCCUCUCUCUCUCUCUCUGUGACUAUCAUAAAUAAAUUAAAAAAAAGAAAAAU
Molecule: long non-coding RNA, 2482 nt
Organism: Vulpes vulpes (red fox)
Lineage: Eukaryota; Metazoa; Chordata; Mammalia; Carnivora; Canidae
Source: Ensembl